Molecule: ribosomal RNA, 416 nt
Filed under: uncultured bacterium
Lineage: Bacteria
Description: bacterial SSU rRNA
Rfam family: Bacterial small subunit ribosomal RNA
Source: RNAcentral
GGCGGACGGGUGAGUAAUGCCUAGGAAUCUGCCUGGUAGUGGGGGACAACGUUUCGAAAGGAACGCUAAUACCGCAUACGUCCUACGGGAGAAAGCAGGGGACCUUCGGGCCUUGCGCUAUCAGAUGAGCCUAGGUCGGAUUAGCUAGUUGGUGGGGUAAAGGCCUACCAAGGCGACGAUCCGUAACUGGUCUGAGAGGAUGAUCAGUCACACUGGAACUGAGACACGGUCCAGACUCCUACGGGAGGCAGCAGUGGGGAAUAUUGGACAAUGGGCGAAAGCCUGAUCCAGCCAUGCCGCGUGUGUGAAGAAGGUCUUCGGAUUGUAAAGCACUUUAAGUUGGGAGGAAGGGCAGUAAGCUAAUACCUUGCUGUUUUGACGUUACCAACAGAAUAAGCACCGGCUAACUUCGUGCC